AUCCAAUAUGCAUUGUCUGUCAUUAUUGGGGGGAUAAGUGGGUAGUCUUUCUUUUAGUCGCACCACAUUCCCCGCUACGUACAUACAUGUAUUUUUAAUACAAAGUCAUGUGUUGUUUAAGACUUUCAGCAGCAUCGCUAGUCACCAAGAAAGAGGGAGAUUUACAUUGAGAUAUACACAUUAGAGAAAUAUGUCUUUGUAUAAAAAGAUUCUACAAAAAUUGUGCGUGGAACGGAGGCGCAGCAUGUAGUCCUGUGGAGCUGCCUUCACUGGCAACAAAAGCAGGAAGCUUUUUGCAACAAAAAACAAACGCUCUCGAUGAGUCAUUCAGGAAAUGUAAACCUCAAUAUAUCCUGUAGAGAAGGAAGGCAAUCUGAAUUAUAUUCCGCACAUAAUAUUAGUAUGUAGAACAGGCCUGAAGAUAAUCCACAGAAUGAUAUAGAGAUUAAUUACUAAAACAUGGUGGACUCUAACAAAGAAGCUGGUUAUUAAAACCCAAGUUGAGAAGCUUAAACUGAGAGGUUGAGUCCUAAAAGUCCUGUAAUGUUCUGUAAUGAGUUUUCCCUUUUCUUUGUCUCUGCUUCAAAUUGACUGUUGGGAAAGGGCUGCUGGACGGAGGCUGAGUGCCAAAUAGACAAGGUGAAUGGCAGCUUCAUUUAUCCAGGGCUGUAAAACACAACUCACACUGACAGACAGAUACAGACUCAGAGCAAUGUUAGUCUACACUCAGCAGCUUCAUGAUCACACAUAGCUCUAGCCGACAGACACAUAAUUCCCUGGGAGAGACACACUCACAGUCUGAGUCCAAAGGCAAACGUUCCAGAAAGAUUUAGCUUCAGACAUUACUUUUGUCCAAGAUGAGCUAUUAUCAUACUUUUAUUGUAAUGCACCAACACAUUCUGCCGUGCUGCUCAUGGUUACAAUUGGUACAAGUAAAAAGACAAAGGUACAAUACAUCUAACAGACAAAAUAAAAUUUGACAAACAAAUAUAAGAGGAGUUGAGGAUCCUAUUUCUAUGGGAACGAACAAUCUAGAUGGAUCUUCAGUUUCACCUCAUUAAAAUAUAACUUGAAUUUAGAGUUGUGUUUCUUGCAUAAUAUGUAACAUAAUCAUAUAUAAAAUGUAACAAGACUGCACAUUAACACAGUGAUCGCUGCAUCUCCCUUGAAACAACCAUCAGCUGAAAACUUUUGGAAGUGGGUUCCAACUCGCCCUGCAGUUCAUUAUAAGCAGCGGCUCCUGUGUGGUCAAUGUCUCCAGCUAUCGGGCAGCAAUGAGGACUGUACAGCACUGUCUCACUGUCGAGAACAUUCAGAGACGAUCUGCACAGCAGCUCUGUAACUACAGCUUCACUCAUCCAUGGCUGUUUAACAAUCCUCGCACUUAGCCAGGGCAUUAUAAUAGGAAACCCACUAAAAGCUGUGCUCAGAGCCCCAUCAUAUGAUAAAAAUGUCCUGUUUGUAGUCUUUUCCUGGUGUCCUUUACAUUGGAUCUUCCCCUGGUCACAAUUUGUGUUCACUGUGUUCUCUCUCACGUCUCUGCUGGUGAAUGUUUAAUGUCUGAGCUUUCAGUCUAGUGUGAGAGUUGAAGCUGGCAGGGACUUCCCCUAAACCUCGCCUCUCCUGAAAGCAAGCAUAGCAGUCACAGAAUAACAGCAUAAAUCUGCUCCGGAGCUUCAUUCCCUGCUCCGGAGCUUCUCUUUAACUUUAAUAUUUCUCUUUAACUUGACGUCUUAUGUGCAGAUUUCAAUAUACUGGGGUGUGAUCUACGGAUCAUGCUACCAUACUAAUGAAUAUCACAUAGAGGUUCUGAACCACAAACUGGCUACUGUUAAAUGGCUGACAGAGUGAUUGUAUAUGUAUACCAUGGAUAACUGUAUAUUUAAUGGAAACAUAUGUCUACAUUGCGGCCAGCGUACCUUUGAUUUCGUUUUAUCACAAAUGCAAAAAUUCAAUAAACACAGAUUUACAACAACUACAAAAAGAAUU
Pelobates cultripes (western spadefoot toad) is the source of this 1989-nucleotide non-coding RNA. Lineage: Eukaryota; Metazoa; Chordata; Amphibia; Anura; Pelobatidae. The record is from the annotation of a GenBank genome assembly.